RNAcentral lists this ribosomal RNA (323 nucleotides) under uncultured eukaryote. Its description in RNAcentral is "partial 18S ribosomal RNA". It matches the Rfam family "Eukaryotic small subunit ribosomal RNA", at positions 1469 to 1796 of the family's 1831-position model. The record is from RNAcentral.
CCCCUUAGAUGUUCUGGGCCGCACGCGUGCUACACUGAGUGGAUCAGCGGGUCAGGUUGCGCGAAAGCGUUUCCUAAUCUUUAAAUCCGCUCGUGAUGGGGAUUGACGGUUGCAAUUUUCUGUCAUGGACGAGGAAUACCUUGUAAGCGCGGGUCAUCAUCCCGCGCUGAAUACGUCCCUGCCCUUUGUACACACCGCCCGUCGCUCCUACCGAUUGAGUGGUCCGGUGAGGCUUUGGGAUCUGAGCGGAAAGAGCGUUUCGCUGUUUCUGCUCGGAAAACUCAGUCGAACCUUAUCAUUUAGAGGAAGGAGAAGUCGUAACA